ACUCAGUCAGAUGGGUGAGAUAUUAUUAUUAUUAUUAUUAUUAUUAUUAUAAUAUCUCACCCAUCUGACUGAGU
RNAcentral lists this microRNA precursor (74 nucleotides) under Podarcis lilfordi (Lilford's wall lizard). Lineage: Eukaryota; Metazoa; Chordata; Lepidosauria; Squamata; Lacertidae. The record is from RNAcentral.